CCGUUCAGGGGUAAACCUGAGAAACCCAAAAGAUCGAAUGAGGAGAUUCAUCGUCGAUUUGUACGGCUUUCGUGCGGUUUGCGAUUCUGCGCCUCGUGCGUUGGAACGUGAUCGCUGCGAAUGUCCGUUGUAAUCGGCGUGCACUUCUCCUCUAGUAGGACGUCGCGACCCGUUGGGUGUCGGCCUACGGCCCGAAUGGUCGACUGUCGCGUCGCUCGCGUCGCGGCAGACCUUCGGUCGCCUGGCCGGCUGCUCGGCGGUAUCUCUGUCUUCGGACCGUCGCAUUUAAUGCGUUUCAGCUCGUCCGCGGGUUUGUCUCGUUCGGAUCAUCGGACCUAGCGCCGUUGCCGGGCGCUUGACGAAUUCCGUUGCGACGGGCAUCGUGAAACGGACGGUUACCGAUCGGCGACGCUUUUGCUUUGGGUACUUUCAGGACCCGUCUUGAAACACGGACCAAGGAGUCUAACAUGUGCGCGAGUCAUUGGGAGUUACACAAAACCUAAAGGCGCAAUGAAAGUAAAGGUUUGGUCGCUUCGCGCGCACCUACCGAGGGAGGAUGGUUUGCGUCACGAUGCAAACUCGCACUCCCGGGGCGUCUCGUGCUCAUUGCGAGCAGAGGCGCACCCAGAGCGUACACGUUGGGACCCGAAAGAUGGUGAACUAUGCCUGGUCAGGACGAAGUCAGGGGAAACCCUGAUGGAGGUCCGUAGCGAUUCUGACGUGCAAAUCGAUCGUCGGAACUGGGUAUAGGGGCGAAAGACUAAUCGAACCAUC
RNAcentral lists this ribosomal RNA (774 nucleotides) under Hymenoptera sp. 24015. RNAcentral's name for it is "partial 28S ribosomal RNA". It matches the Rfam family "Eukaryotic large subunit ribosomal RNA", at positions 405 to 944 of the family's 3401-position model. Lineage: Eukaryota; Metazoa; Arthropoda; Insecta; Hymenoptera. The record is from RNAcentral. RNAcentral also lists the same sequence under 10 other names.